RNAcentral lists this ribosomal RNA (255 nucleotides) under uncultured bacterium. RNAcentral's name for it is "partial 16S ribosomal RNA". It matches the Rfam family "Bacterial small subunit ribosomal RNA", at positions 545 to 793 of the family's 1533-position model. The record is from RNAcentral.
UCGGAAUUACUGGGCGUAAAGCGCAUGCAGGUGGUUUGUUAAGUCAGAUGUGAAAGACCCGGGGCGUCAACCUCGGAAUAGCAUUUGAAACUAGGCAGACUAGAGUACUGUAGAGGGGGGUAGGAAUUUCAGGUGUAGCGGUGAAAUAGCGUAGAGAUCUGAAGGAAUACCGGUGGCGAAGGCGGCCCCCUCGGACAGAUACUGACACUCAGAUGCGAAAGCGUGGGGAGCAAACAGGAUUAGAUACCCUGGUAG